CAAUAGCGUAUAUUAACGUUGUUGCAGUUAAAAAGCUCGUAGUUGGAUUUCUGGAGGGAGCGUCGGCCCGUAUUUACGAGUGCGUGACGUCUCUGUCCAUCCUUGCGGGAAGGCACGGCAUCGAUUUGUUGUGUCGGAUCGCAUCAUUUACUGUGAAAAAAUUAGAGUGUUCAAAGCAGGCUUUCGCUUGAAUACAUUAGCAUGGAAUAAUAAGAUAGGACUUUGGUGCUAUUUUGUUGGUUGAGCCUAAAGUAAUGAUUAAUAGGGAUAGUUGGGGGCACCUGUAUUGCGUUGUCAGAGGUGAAAUUCUUGGAUUUACGCAAGACAAACAGCUGCGAAAGCGUCUGCCAAGGAUGUUUUCAUUAA
This 366-nucleotide ribosomal RNA is filed under the name uncultured eukaryote. RNAcentral's name for it is "partial 18S ribosomal RNA". It matches the Rfam family "Eukaryotic small subunit ribosomal RNA", at positions 592 to 976 of the family's 1831-position model. The record is from RNAcentral.